CUAGCGACUUCAGAGUUUGAUCCUGGCUCAGGAUGAACGCUAGCUACAGGCUUAACACAUGCAAGUCGAACGGGGUUUUGAGCUUCGGUUCAAAACUUAGUGGCAAACGGGUGAGUAACACGUAUCCAACCUGUCCCUUACUCGGGUAUAGCCUUUCGAAAGGAAGAGUAAUCCCCGAUAUUAUGUUAUAUGCGCAUGCAUAUUUCAUGAAAGAUUUAUUGGUAAGGGUUGGGGAUGCGUUCCAUUAGAUAGUCGGUGAGGUAACGGCUCACCGAGUCUAUGAUGGAUAGGGGUUCUGAGAGGAAGGUCCCCCACAUUGGAACUGCGACACGGUCCAA
Molecule: ribosomal RNA, 338 nt
Filed under: uncultured bacterium
Lineage: Bacteria
Description: bacterial SSU rRNA
Rfam family: Bacterial small subunit ribosomal RNA
Source: RNAcentral